AAAACUUUCAACAACGGAUCUCUUGGUUCUGGCAUCGAUGAAGAACGCAGCGAAAUGCGAUAAGUAAUGUGAAUUUGCAGAAUUUAGU
This 88-nucleotide ribosomal RNA is filed under the name Cladonia subrangiformis. RNAcentral describes it as "partial 5.8S ribosomal RNA". It matches the Rfam family "5.8S ribosomal RNA", at positions 1 to 85 of the family's 154-position model. Rfam says of the family: 5.8S ribosomal RNA (5.8S rRNA) is a component of the large subunit of the eukaryotic ribosome. The record is from RNAcentral. Lineage: Eukaryota; Fungi; Ascomycota; Lecanoromycetes; Lecanorales; Cladoniaceae.